UCCAGACUCCUACGGGAGGCAGCAGUGGGGAAUAUUGCACAAUGGGGGAAACCCUGAUGCAGCGACGCCGCGUGGGUGAAGGAGUGCUUCGGCAUGUAAAGCCCUAUCGGCAGGGAAGAAGCAAGACGGUACCUGACUAAGAAGCCCCGGCUAACUACGUGCCAGCAGCCGCGGUAAUACGUAGGGGGCAAGCGUUAUCCGGAUUCACUGGGCGUAAAGGGAGCGCAGGCGGCAUGGCAAGUCUGAUGUGAAAACCCGGGGCCCAACCCCGGGAGUGCAUUGGAAACUGCCAGGCUGGAGUGUCGGAGGGGUAAGCGGAAUUCCUAGUGUAGCGGUGAAAUGCGUAGAUAUUAGGAGGAACACCAGUGGCGAAGGCGGCUUACUGGACGACUACUGACGCUGAGGCUCGAAAGCGUGGGGAGCAAACAGGAUUAGAUACCCCUGUA
Molecule: ribosomal RNA, 446 nt
Filed under: uncultured bacterium
Lineage: Bacteria
Description: bacterial SSU rRNA
Rfam family: Bacterial small subunit ribosomal RNA
Source: RNAcentral